CGCUGGCGGCGUGCCUAAUACAUGCAAGUCGAACGAACUCUGGUAUUGAUUGGUGCUUGCAUCAUGAUUUACAUUUGAGUGAGUGGCGAACUGGUGAGUAACACGUGGGAAACCUGCCCAGAAGCGGGGGAUAACACCUGGAAACAGAUGCUAAUACCGCAUAACAACUUGGACCGCAUGGUCCGAGUUUGAAAGAUGGCUUCGGCUAUCACUUUUGGAUGGUCCCGCGGCGUAUUAGCUAGAUGGUGGGGUAACGGCUCACCAUGGCAAUGAUACGUAGCCGACCUGAGAGGGUAAUCGGCCACAUUGGGACUGAGACACGGCCCAAACUCCUACGGGAGGCAGCAGUAGGGAAUCUUCCACAAUGGACGAAAGUCUGAUGGAGCAACGCCGCGUGAGUGAAGAAGGGUUUCGGCUCGUAAAACUCUGUUGUUAAAGAAGAACAUAUCUGAGAGUAACUGUUCAGGUAUUGACGGUAUUUAACCAGAAAGCCACGGCUAACUACGUGCCAGCAGCCGCGGUAAUACGUAGGUGGCAAGCGUUGUCCGGAUUUAUUGGGCGUAAAGCGAGCGCAGGCGGUUUUUUAAGUCUGAUGUGAAAGCCUUCGGCUCAACCGAAGAAGUGCAUCGGAAACUGGGAAACUUGAGUGCAGAAGAGGACAGUGGAACUCCAUGUGUAGCGGUGAAAUGCGUAGAUAUAUGGAAGAACACCAGUGGCGAAGGCGGCUGUCUGGUCUGUAACUGACGCUGAGGCUCGAAAGUAUGGGUAGCAAACAGGAUUAGAUACCCUGGUAGUCCAUACCGUAAACGAUGAAUGCUAAGUGUUGGAGGGUUUCCGCCCUUCAGUGCUGCAGCUAACGCAUUAAGCAUUCCGCCUGGGGAGUACGGCCGCAAGGCUGAAACUCAAAGGAAUUGACGGGGGCCCGCACAAGCGGUGGAGCAUGUGGUUUAAUUCGAAGCUACGCGAAGAACCUUACCAGGUCUUGACAUACUAUGCAAAUCUAAGAGAUUAGACGUUCCCUUCGGGGACAUGGAUACAGGUGGUGCAUGGUUGUCGUCAGCUCGUGUCGUGAGAUGUUGGGUUAAGUCCCGCAACGAGCGCAACCCUUAUUAUCAGUUGCCAGCAUUAAGUUGGGCACUCUGGUGAGACUGCCGGUGACAAACCGGAGGAAGGUGGGGAUGACGUCAAAUCAUCAUGCCCCUUAUGACCUGGGCUACACACGUGCUACAAUGGAUGGUACAACGAGUUGCGAACUCGCGAGAGUAAGCUAAUCUCUUAAAGCCAUUCUCAGUUCGGAUUGUAGGCUGCAACUCGCCUACAUGAAGUCGGAAUCGCUAGUAAUCGCGGAUCAGCAUGCCGCGGUGAAUACGUUCCCGGGCCUUGUACACACCGCCCGUCACACCAUGAGAGUUUGUAACACCCAAAGUCGGUGGGGUAACCUUUUAGGAACCAGCCGCCUAAGGUGGGACAGAUGAUUAGGGUGAAG
Molecule: ribosomal RNA, 1486 nt
Filed under: Lactiplantibacillus plantarum
Lineage: Bacteria; Bacillati; Bacillota; Bacilli; Lactobacillales; Lactobacillaceae
Description: bacterial SSU rRNA
Rfam family: Bacterial small subunit ribosomal RNA
Source: RNAcentral